RNAcentral lists this ribosomal RNA (483 nucleotides) under uncultured Coriobacteriaceae bacterium. RNAcentral's name for it is "bacterial SSU rRNA". It matches the Rfam family "Bacterial small subunit ribosomal RNA", at positions 8 to 507 of the family's 1533-position model. The record is from RNAcentral. Lineage: Bacteria; Bacillati; Actinomycetota; Coriobacteriia; Coriobacteriales; Coriobacteriaceae.
AGAGUUUGAUCCUGGCUCAGGAUGAACGCUGGCGGCGUGCUUAACACAUGCAAGUCGAACGAUUAAAGCGCCUUCGGGCGUGCAUAGAGUGGCGAACGGGUGAGUAACACGUGACCAACCUGCCUCACACACCGGGAUAACUACUGGAAACGGUAGCUAAUACCGGAUACUAUCCGGCCAACACAUGUUAGCCGGAUGAAAGCUCUCGCGGUGUGAGAUGGGGGUCGCGGCCCAUUAGGUAGUCGGCGGGGUAACGGCCCACCGAGCCUGCGAUGGGUAGCCGGACUGAGAGGUCGAUCGGCCACAUUGGGACUGAGAUACGGCCCAGACUCCUACGGGAGGCAGCAGUGGGGAAUAUUGCGCAAUGGGGGAAACCCUGACGCAGCAACGCCGCGUGCGGGAUGAAGGCUUUCGGGUUGUAAACCGCUUUCAGCAGGGAAGAUAGUGACGGUACCUGCAGAAGAAGCCCCGGCUAAAUACGUG